Capra hircus (goat) is the source of this 562-nucleotide non-coding RNA. NCBI's taxonomy places the organism in Eukaryota, Metazoa, Chordata, Mammalia, Artiodactyla, Bovidae. The record is from the annotation of a RefSeq genome assembly.
UCAGAUGCGGUUCCUCACUGUAUUCAGGAGCUGAUUCACUUGCCUGCUUUGUAGCCACAAGACAGAAUAUUGCUGCAGUACAGAAAGGGGCUCUCAGUUUCUGAGCGAGGAGCUUCUGUAACAUUCAGAUGGAGACUAGAUUUCUUAGAUGGUGUAUUGCAGGGAACAAGGAUCGUUUUCUUUUGAGAACAUGCAUUCUGCCACUCACUCAGUUCUUCUGAUCAUCUUAAUAUUCAGAGGGACCAAUGGUGACUCAGUGAGCCAGACAGAAGGCCCAGUGACUGUCUCAGAGGGGGCUCUCAUGACCCUGAACUGCACUUACCAGACGGCUGAUUCGGCUUCCUAUCUUUACUGGUACGUCCAGCAUCUCAACAAAGCUCUUCAACUCCUCCUGAAGGGCUCGGCGAGAGACCCAAAGCCAAAGAGUGAAGGUUUUCAGGCCACUCUUGUUCAGGGUGACAGGUCCUUCCACCUGCAGAAACGGGCAGUGCAAGCAUCAGACUCGGCUGUGUACUACUGUGCUCUGGGUGACACAGUGACACAGGGCUGCGGGGGGAGCUGA